This 1008-nucleotide long non-coding RNA is filed under the name Nothobranchius furzeri (turquoise killifish). RNAcentral describes it as "lncRNA (ENSNFUG00015019919.1)". Lineage: Eukaryota; Metazoa; Chordata; Actinopteri; Cyprinodontiformes; Nothobranchiidae. The record is from RNAcentral.
CUUUUCAUUAUUUUAUUUUAUUUUUUUUUUUUUUGUCAUUCAGGUGAUCAGAGUAUUUCAGAAUACCUAGCAUAUGCUUCAAAAGUCACCAAAGAAGAUCAUGGUACCAAAAAAACGGACUCAAUUGCCCAAAAUAUUUUAAAAUUUAAUAAAAGAUUAUUUCAUCGUUUUGGUCACCACCGUAAUAAAAAACGCAACAACCGCAAGAGCCAUCACUUUCGUCUUAAGCUCCCUAAUCUCUAUAAACACCGCCAGCACCAUAAAAACCAUAAGCUUCAUCAUGAUGAUAACUACAAUGACCAACAUGACACUGACCACCAUCAAGACCAUCAUGAUAGUGGGCAUGACAGCAAGCAGAACAAUCAAUGGCAACAUGAUCAAAACGGCUCUGAUAAUGAUGACCGCCAUGGCCGCAAUGACAACCAAGAGCACCUGGAUCAUCACAAUGAACAGCGACAUGGCCUUGAAAACCAUAACAAAGACAAGGAGCAUGACAACUACCACAAGCAUCACAGCCAUCAUGACAUAGACAGUAAUCAUGAUUAUGAUCAAGAUGAUGAUGAUGAACAUGACAAUGACCACCAGCACGGCCACAAAUAUCACAGCCAACAUGAAAAGGACCACGAUCAAGACCAUGAACAUGACCAUGAUCACCAGCACAGACACAAACAUCAUGACAAGGACCAUGAUAAAGACCACGACCAUGACUACAAUAAAGACCAUGACAAACAGCACAGCCAUAAACAUCACAAACAUCAUGCGCAAGAUAGUGAUCAUGACCAUGACCACGAAAAUCACCAUGACCAACAGCACAGCCACAAACAUCAUGACAAGGACACUGAUCAAGACAGCGACCAUGACCAUGACCAUGGCCAAGAUCAUGACCAACAACACAGACACAAACAUCAUGACAAGGACCAUGAUAAAGACCACGGCCAUGACCACAAUAAAGACCAUGACAAACAGCACAGCCAUAAACAUCACAAACAUCAUGCGCAAGAUAGUGAU